RNAcentral lists this ribosomal RNA (301 nucleotides) under uncultured bacterium. Its description in RNAcentral is "partial 16S ribosomal RNA". It matches the Rfam family "Bacterial small subunit ribosomal RNA", at positions 509 to 807 of the family's 1533-position model. The record is from RNAcentral.
CAGUCGCCGCGGUAAGACAGAGGAUGCAAGCGUUAUCCGGAAUGAUUGGGCGUAAAGCGUCUGUAGGUGGCUUUUCAAGUCCGCCGUCAAAUCCCAGGGCUCAACCCUGGACAGGCGGUGGAAACUACCAAGCUGGAGUACGGUAGGGGCAGAGGGAAUUUCCAGUGGAGCGGUGAAAUGCGUUGAGAUCGAAGAGAACACCAACAGCGAAAGCACUCUGCUGGGACGACACUGACACUAAGAGACGAAAGCUAGGGGAGCAAAUGGGAUUAGAUACCCCAGUAGUCCCUGUCUCUUAUAC